CAAAUUAAAAAGAGUAAAAUGAUACUUUGUAUUUUCUUUACAUUAAAUAAGUUCAAAAAUUAAACUAAAAAACCAAAAAUAAAAGAAAAUGGGCAUCAUCAUCUUCCUCAUUCCAUUACCUCCACUAAUCUCCUAUCAAAUCAAAACUUUCGGGCGGCCACCGGCCACUACAUCAUCCCACACAAAACAAUUGGACAAAUAACGUCAUAUGGAGAUCAAGAUAAACUCUUAAAACUAUGGAAGUCGAACGGUCCAACAACAAAAUUUGGCAACUCCGAUGACACCCACGGUCAUGCAUCAUUGCCAGCCAAUUUACCUCAACUAGACGCUCGAAUUUGUGGUGAGACAUCAUCCAGAAUAGUUCCGAUAAAUACGGGUCUGCCUCGGGAAGCAUAACGAGGCAGUUUCAUCUCCUUUAAUUAAUGGGUUUGGGAAUGGUUUUUCACAAAAUUGGCAACACACGAAUUAUCAAUAGCAUCAUACGACCAGUGGUGUGUACUCAAUUUCUCUAGUUGAUAUCCCAAUCGACCCAAUUUGGAUAAUUCUACUCUAAAUCAUAUGCAAACUAAGGAAAUGUUGCCUCUUCCUAUUGAUGAAUCUGGAGAUCGUUUUCCACCAAAUUGGCAACCAACAAAUCCUUCAGCAACACCAGACGUUGUUAGGUUUACCCUGUAUUGAUCUAAUUGAGUCACAAAUUGCUCCGAUUCUGGCUUCAAAUUCUACCUAAUUCCACUCGCAAAACGAGUUUCCAGUUUCUUCAAUUUCUAUUGGGGCCCACACCACAGGACAACCUCCAAUUGUUUGCAUGGGAUGUGAAAACGGAUUCGAUUUGAUUUUUGGUUUAGGUGUUGGAGUAGUGAGAUCAUUGUUUAUUUUGAUUUGUUUUCUUGGUUUUGAUAGAGAUGGUGUUUAUUUUUGAUUUUGUGGGCCGCGGUGGUGGUCGGCGGUGUGGUGGUCUGUGAUGGCCUGGC
RNAcentral lists this long non-coding RNA (971 nucleotides) under Olea europaea subsp. europaea. Lineage: Eukaryota; Viridiplantae; Streptophyta; Magnoliopsida; Lamiales; Oleaceae. The record is from RNAcentral.